RNAcentral lists this ribosomal RNA (465 nucleotides) under uncultured Chitinophagaceae bacterium. Its description in RNAcentral is "bacterial SSU rRNA". It matches the Rfam family "Bacterial small subunit ribosomal RNA", at positions 335 to 798 of the family's 1533-position model. Lineage: Bacteria; Pseudomonadati; Bacteroidota; Chitinophagia; Chitinophagales; Chitinophagaceae. The record is from RNAcentral.
GUCCUACGGGGGGCAGCAGUGAGGAAUAUUGGUCAAUGGACGCAAGUCUGAACCAGCCAUGCCGCGUGAAGGAUGAAGGCCUUCUGGGUUGUAAACUUCUUUUAUUGGGGAAGAAAAUUACGGUUUCUACUGUAACCGACGGUACCCAAUGAAUAAGCACCGGCUAACUCCGUGCCAGCAGCCGCGGUAAUACGGAGGGUGCAAGCGUUAUCCGGAUUCACUGGGUUUAAAGGGUGUGUAGGCGGGCUAUUAAGUCAGUGGUGAAAUCUCCGGGCUCAACCCGGAAACUGCCAUUGAUACUAUUAGUAUUGAAUAUCGUUGAGGUAGGCGGAAUAUAUCAUGUAGCGGUGAAAUGCAUAGAUAUGAUAUAGAACACCGAUUGCGAAGGCAGCUUGCUAAACGAUGAUUGACGCUGAGGCACGAAAGCGUGGGGAUCAAACAGGAUUAGAUACCCUAGUAGUCUAA